UAGUCCACGCCGUAAACGAUGAUUACUCGUUGUUGGCGAUACAUAGUCAGCGACUGAGCGAAAGCAUUAAGUAAUCCACCUGGGGAGUACGUUGGCAACAAUGAAACUCAAAGGAAUUGACGGGGGUCCGCACAAGCGGAGGAACAUGUGGUUUAAUUCGAUGAUACGCGAGGAACCUUACCUGGACUUAAAUGUAGAUUGACAGGUUUUAGAGAUAGACUUUUCUUCGGACAAUUUACAAGGUGCUGCAUGGUUGUCGUCAGCUCGUGCCGUGAGGUGUCGGGUUAAGUCCCAUAACGAGCGCAACCCCUAUUGUUAGUUACCAGCACGUUACGGUGGGGACUCUAACAAGACUGCCGGUGUAAACCGAGAGGAAGGUGGGGAUGACGUCAAGUCCUCAUGGCCCUUACAUCCAGGGCUACACACGUGCUACAAUGGGAGGUACGAAUGCGCAGCUAGAUCGCGAGAUCAUGCCAAUCGCAAAAAGCCUUCCCCAGUUCGGAUAGGAGU
This 510-nucleotide ribosomal RNA is filed under the name uncultured bacterium. RNAcentral describes it as "bacterial SSU rRNA". It matches the Rfam family "Bacterial small subunit ribosomal RNA", at positions 791 to 1304 of the family's 1533-position model. The record is from RNAcentral.